Molecule: ribosomal RNA, 420 nt
Filed under: uncultured bacterium
Lineage: Bacteria
Description: bacterial SSU rRNA
Rfam family: Bacterial small subunit ribosomal RNA
Source: RNAcentral
UAAGGAAUAUUGCUCAAUGGGAGAAAUCCUGAAGCAGCAACGCCGCGUGGAGGAUGAAGGGUCUAUGACUUGUAAACUCCUGUAAAGAAGGAAAAAAUUCCCAUUUGAUGGGAGAUGAUGGUACUUCUGGAGUAAGCCCCGGCUAACUACGCGCCAGCAGCCGCGGUAAUACGUAGGGGGCAAGCGUUGUCCGGAUUUACUGGGUGUAAAGGGUGCUCAGGCGGAUUUGUAAGUCAGAGGUGAAAUCUUACAGCUUAACUGUGAAACUGCCUUUGGUACUGCAAGCCUAGAGUAUGGAAGAGAGUGAUGGAAUAUCUGGUGUAGCAGUGAAAUGCGCAGAUAUCAGAUAGAACACCAAUGGCGAAGGCAGUCACUUGGUCCAUUACUGACGCUAAAGCACGAAAGCGUGGGUAGCAAACA